Molecule: long non-coding RNA, 330 nt
Organism: Oncorhynchus tshawytscha (Chinook salmon)
Lineage: Eukaryota; Metazoa; Chordata; Actinopteri; Salmoniformes; Salmonidae
Source: Ensembl
AGAGUCAGCUCUACGGCUAACAGUUACUACCCAUAGAGUCAGCUCUAAUGCUAACAGUACUACCCAUAGAGUCAGCUCUAAUGCUAACAUUACUACCCAUAGAGUCAGCUCUACGGCUAACAGUUACUACCCAUAGAGUCAGCUCUACAGCUAACAGUUAUUACCCAUAGAGUCAGCUCUACAGCUAACAGUUACUACCCAUAGAGUCAGCUCUACGGCUAACAGUUAUUACCCAUAGAGUCAGCUCUACAGCUAACAGUUACUACCCAUAGAGUCAGCUCUACAGCUAACAGUUACUACCCAUAGAGUCAGCUCUAAGGCUAACAGUUA